GACAGAGGGGGCAAGCGUUGCUCGGAAUCACUGGGCGUAAAGGGCGCGUAGGCGGGAUGGCAAGUCGGUCGUGAAAUCUCUCGGCUCAACCGAGAAACGUCGGCCGAUACUGCCGUUCUUGAGGGAUGCAGAGGAGACUGGAAUUCCCGGUGUAGCGGUGAAAUGUGUAGAGAUCGGGAGGAACACCGGUGGCGAAGGCGGGUCUCUGGGCAUCUCCUGACGCUGAGGCGCGAAAGCGUGGGGAGCAAACAGG
RNAcentral lists this ribosomal RNA (253 nucleotides) under uncultured bacterium. Its description in RNAcentral is "partial 16S ribosomal RNA". It matches the Rfam family "Bacterial small subunit ribosomal RNA", at positions 524 to 776 of the family's 1533-position model. The record is from RNAcentral.